Molecule: ribosomal RNA, 1142 nt
Filed under: Clostridioides difficile
Lineage: Bacteria; Bacillati; Bacillota; Clostridia; Peptostreptococcales; Peptostreptococcaceae
Description: partial 23S ribosomal RNA
Rfam family: Bacterial large subunit ribosomal RNA
Source: RNAcentral
AAGUUUUCUUUAUUGGGGUUGCGGACAUAUCAUAACGAAGAGGUAUCGUAAUUGAAGAGGUUUGGAAAGACCCACCACAGAAGGUAAUAGUCCUGUAUGUUAAACGAGAAGACUUCAGAUAUGAUCCAGAGUACCACGGGACACGUGAAACCCUGUGGGAAGCAGGAGGGACCACCCUCCAAGGCUAAAUACUACCUAGUGACCGAUAGCGUAUAGUACCGUGAGGGAAAGGUGAAAAGAACCCCGGGAGGGGAGUGAAAUAGAACCUGAAACCCUGCACUUACAAGCUGUGGAAGCACAUUUCUUGUGUGACCGCGUACUUUUUGUAGAACGGGCCAACGAGUUACGUUAAGUAGCAAGGUUAAGCACUUAAGGUGCGGAGCCGUAGCGAAAGCGAGUUUUAACUGAGCGUUCAGUUACUUGACGUAGACCCGAAACCGGGCGACCUACCCAUGAGCAGGAUGAAGCGAAAGUAAAAUUUCGUGGAGGUCCGAACCCACGAGCGUUGAAAAGCUCGGGGAUGACUUGUGGGUAGCGGUGAAAUUCCAAUCGAGCCCGGAGAUAGCUGGUUCUCCCCGAAAUAGCUUUAGGGCUAGCCUCAAGGUGAGAGAUACGGAGGUAGAGCACUGAAUGUCCUAGGGGGUAUUGCACCUACCGAAGACUAUCAAACUCCGAAUGCCGUCAUCUUAUACUUGGGAGUCAGACUGUGGGUGAUAAGAUUCAUAGUCGAAAGGGCAACAGCCCAGAUCGUCAGCUAAGGUCCCUAAAUGUAAGUUAAGUGGUAAAGGAUGUGGGAUUGCACAGACAACCAGGAUGUUGGCUUAGAAGCAGCCACUCAUUCAAAGAGUGCGUAAUAGCUCACUGGUCGAGUGAUCCUGCGCCGAAGAUUUCCGGGGCUAAAACUUACUACCGAAGCUACGGCAUCAGUAAUGAUGGGUAGGGGAGCUUCCCAUACGGGUUGAAGCAUGACCGUAAGGACAUGUGGACAGUAUGGGAGUGAGAAUGUUGGCAUGAGUAGCGAGAUGUGGGUGAGAAUCCCACAGGCCGUAAACCCAAGGUUUCCAGGGGAAGGUUCGUCCGCCCUGGGUUAGUCGGGACCUAAGCUGAGGCCGAAAGGCGUAGGUGAUGGACAACAGGUUGAU